GUGGAUCUUUUUUGUUUGCGUCCUUCCUUUUCCUCUUCUCCCGUUUCCUUUUGAGCUUAAGUCGCUUCUUCGUGAGCCAUUUCCUCUUUUUCGAAGGCUCUAUCUCAUGGGUCUCGAAUUUUGGCAUCCCGUCAUUAAGGACGAGGUUCACUGAUCCAUAGCUAACAUUCCUUAUAUUCCAUAAAUUCCCAGAUGGGUGAAAUGAGUGUGAAAUUUUGUUACAUGGAACAAGAGAAUACCUGCUUCAAAACGCGAAGAGAGAUGAUCAGGAACGAACUGAGGGUGAAUUGCAUUAGGGUUCCCCAAACUUUUUAGAAGGUUUCAAUUUGGUCCCCAACCUUUUCAUUGUCACAAGAAAAUGUCUAAUGUUUACAAUCAUAACAUUUUCAUUAAAUUUAUGGGUUAAAUAGGAUCAAAGUAUCCACACAAAUCAAAAAGUUACAUAGUAGGUAUAUGACGAUUGCAUUGUUAGUUCUGUAUAAUUUGGAAAAGGAAUCUAACCGAAACUAGGAGAAAAGAUUGAGGACACCCUCCACCGAACAACUUAGAGAAGCUACGAGAAUCAAAAAGAAAAAGUGAUGACCUUGACGACGGAGGGAGAGGGGCAGCAAAUGCCCUAGAAAACAACAAAUUAUGAAGAGAUAAAGAAGGCGGCCUUUGCAGCCUUCGAAGAAAGAGGAAAGAGCGUGCCAUUGCUUAUUACUAAAUGCAUGAGGAGGUGGAGUCAAUCAACAUCUAGUUCAGUUGUUCACCAUUUUUCCUGAAAAAUCAUUUGAAUACAAAUUAGUUUAACACACGUGUUACAAGAGAUAGCGAUGAAAUCCAAGAAGAAGAUUGGUGAAAAAUGCAUAGAUUUUGAAAAGGAAAAGCAACGAUAAUCAAACUUGGGUAAUAAGUGGCUAUUUGGUUCCGCUUCUACUUCUACUCUCAACAAUAGUCACUUUUAAUAGAGCAUUUGGCAAACAGGAAAAAUCUUGUGCUUAUGCUGCAGCGGGAAUGAUAAAUGAGAUUCUGAAGCCCAAAGCCAAAAGCUCGAAUUUGGUGCUUCUACUUCUGCAGCAGAGACAAUCUUUUAUUGAAGGGAUUUUUAGUACAAUGCUUCUUCUAAAAGCACUAUCCAAACAACAGUUCAUCGGACAACAAUACACCCUACAGUAGAGCCAAACAAGCCCUUGGUGCUUGUUUGUCCAAGCUUCUAGUAUGGGAUAAGAAUGGCUUUGCGAACCAAAAGCAAAUACAAGCUUCUAGCUGUAGUAAGAAGCUAAAAUGAAUUUUGAAAAAUCAAAAGUAAAAACUGUAAUUUGAAACUCCUACUUCGAAAUUCCGGAGGAGAUUGUUGAUUUUUCUCUUUUUUUUUAUUUUUUUCCCCUUAUUAUGAUGAGAGGGACAGUUUAUUAAUCCAAAAGCCGCAAAUGCAUUUAGAUGGUCCUAUUUAUUAAUCCAAACGGCAAAAUAAAUCCUAUUUUCCACAAGCUACACUAACAAAACGAUUCAAGUAGUCAAAAUUUUAAAACAAAAAAAAAAAACACUUUUUCUCUUCGGCAUCUCAACAAACACCUUUCCUGCGCACUACCCUAUAUUACAGCAAGCAACAUCCAUUUCGCGUCACAAGUAAAACACAAUAAUCCCUAACCCUAAGCUUCUGCCUGAACAGAGUUUCGGUUCGCUAAACAGCUUCCAUCUGAAGCAAAAGCAGAAGCUUUUCACCAAAGCUGCUUCUUUUAUGGCUCCAAAGCUAAUUUCCGCUUCCUGAUGCAGCAAAAAUCAACAGCAAAAGCAGAACCCAUUUCGAAAACCACCCAAAAGAAGCACUUCCUUAUGCAACUAAAUCGUGAAAAAAUUCCAAAAAAAUUUAAAAUAUAAGCGUUGAAUCCGAACCCUAAUCCAAAGGAGAGAUCGUCGGAGAUGAAGGGGGAGGGAAUGGAGAGAUUAAAGUUGCACUCCGGACGAGGGUUUGGGGAGAGCGGCGCCGAGAGGAACGAAGGGCUAAAAUUUUCUCUUUUUUUUUUGUUUUCAGAAGCGUAUAUACGAAUUCUUAUUUGAUAUUUAUAGAAUUUUAAUUUGGAGAAAAAUUGUAUGGAAAGCCCCUCAACUAUACGCAUUGCAUGAAAUGACACUACUUUUUAAGUUGAGAAAUCUUUUCAGAACGGAGCAUAAUUGAGGGGGUUUAUCCAUAAAUUUUACCUAAGAAGUUUGUUCCGAAAUAAAAAAGGUAAGGAUUAUUUUCCAAAUAUCAUAUAAUUUAGGGGUUAUCCGUAAAUUUACCACAUAAAUCUGGUAUAUUUGCAAUUUUCUCCCUAACAAAUACAGAUAUUAUAUAUCUCUAUAUAGCACUCUAAGGUGGAGUUGUGUGUAUCGCCCUUUGUGUUGACCGUUCACUAUUGCUUCUUCCUCCUCGUAACCUAUUUUUAGGGCUUUUUGGGGCGCGUCGAGGGCCACGGCGAAGGUCGCGUCCAUGGCGACGGAGCAACCCAAAGGUUCGAUCAUUCCCCCUCCCUAACCCCACCCACCCAAAUCUAGGGUUUUCGCUCGAUCCUCUUUCCUAUGGCCUUUUUUUUUAUUUCGCAUCAAAUUCCAACAAUUAGGGUUUGUAACUAGCCUCCGCUUCAAUUUCGUGUUGGAACUUUAGCCACUUGGUUUGGAAUCGAAAUUUAAUUUGGAUUUGAUUCGCAAUUCGAAUGAAUUUGAGUGAAAAAUGUGUUAGUUGGAACUUGGAAUGAUAUGUGGUUGAAUCAAAUACGAAUGGAAUUCAAAUUGGUUUUGAAUUCAGAAGUAUUCAUUGUAAUAUAAUUAGAUAUGGAUUGUUGCGUUUGAACUAAUUUGGAGUUGAAUUGAAUUCCACUGCGAAAUCGUUCCAAUUUACCUACUUUUUGCUCUCAAUUUCGCCCAAAUUCCAACAAUUAGGGUUCGUAAGUGGCCUCCGAUUUGAAUGUCGUGUUGGAUUUUAAUUUGGAUUUGAUUCGCAAUUCGAUUGAAUUUGAGUGAGUUCGAUUUGGGGUUGAAAUCGUUGGUCGGAAAUUGGAAUGAUAUGUGAUUGAAUCUAAUAUCAACAUAAUUCAACUGAUUUUGAAUUUAUUGGUAUUCAAUUUAAUUAAAUUAGAUAUGAAUUUUUGUGUUUAAACUAAUUUGGAGUUGCAUUGAAUAGUGAGAAAACUAGUAUGUCCAUUUUAAGAAGGGUUUUUUUUUAAAAAAAAAAAGGCUAUGCAUAUGUUGUAAUUAACAACAUCAAAAAGGCGAGAGCUCAAAUCCCAAUCAGUAUUUUUGUGCUGUUUCAUUUGCUCUCAAUCCCAACCUGAUCUGCAUAAUUUAUGCUGUUUGGGAACCACGUAAAAACAUUGUAAUGGAAAAAAAAAGAGGGUUUUUCAACACUGUGAACAAUUUUUUUAACAAAGAACUGCAUGGAUAUCUAAAAUAAAACGUUGAGAUACACUAUGUUUUCUCUAAAACCUUCUAUUUUGGGGUAAAAUAAAAAUUCACCUAUGAAGCACAGAUACUUCAAAUUUCAUGCCAUUUCUGUAUCAGACACAUAUUGGAUACCGAUACGCGCCCGAUAUGUGUCCGAUAUGGGAAUGAAGUACAGAUAAAAAAAAAUAUUGGAUAUAGCUCGGAUACGGGAGGGAUACGGGAGGAUAUAGGGGAUAUGGUCGGAUUCUUUUUUGGUCUAAAAUGACGGGAACUCGAAACUUUUCAAGACUGCCCACGUCCUGACCCAUUGUAAAUAAGGAAACGAGUGCGAAAAAUGUCAUUCUCUCUUCAAUUCGUCAUUUCUUCGAGAGGUUGAUCCGUUUAGAUUCAAGCAUAUUGUAACUGACCAGUACUCAAGGCGAUACCGCAGUGGCAGAGUAAUGUCUGAAUUCGUUUACGGUGGGUACGUGGUCAAGUUUCGGGGACGAAACUUCUUUUAAGGGGGAGAUAAUGUAAGGACUGAGAUUUUGGCAGUACAGUUAAACUCUCUGUUGACGAUGUUUCUGUGUGUAAUUUAAUUACAUAAGCACUUGUCAAGUUUCAGGAGAAAAUGAGCUAGAAUGGAGAAGUUACGCGACCAGGACCGAUGACUUAAAGUGAAUAGUAACUCCGGCUUUUCGGAUGAGCCAGUGAGUACAGAAGGGUUCUGGUGCGUAUUGGACUUCGAACAUAGGCCUCCAAUAGCUCGUUUCGAACAGCUCGACUAUUCUGGACCCAAUGGCACUGACAGAAUUGGGUUCUGAUGCACGAUUGUCGAGAAAAAGGGGUUUGAUUGAUUUCACAUAUAUUAAUGUAUGUGGUUUAUUGGUGGAAACAAAGAGGGUAGGUUCCGUCGCGUAUCGGAGACCAAAUCGGACACAACAAGAUGCUAGAUUCGAUGCCCCAGUCAUGCUGAAUGUUCUGGCGUGAUCCGUUCGGAAAUCCAACGGACGGAUCUCCGAGAAUUAGAAAAUGUUCGCUGAGGGGUCAAAUUGGCAAAAACGGAAAAAUCUGCGAAAGGUCUGGUAUUUUAUGUACUGUUUUGCGUGGUUUCGAACAUUGAGGUGCGGGCAUGCAAAGUGCAUGUGCUGUCAAGGCCUGGGUAAUAUAUAUUUAACUUUGAAGGCGUUUUCUGCAUUUUGUCCAUAGUGUAUAUACGGGCAGCUAGGGUUUUCAUGCAUAAACCCUAGCCCUAGCCCUAGUAUUAAAGUAAGUUCAAAAAAAUUCUUAUUAUGAGCUCAAAUUAGUUCGUGCUAGAAUAAACACGACAUGAGCUUGUCACAUCAAGUGGAUAAGCAAGAAGAACCUACACAACAACUACAACCUGGAUAUGACCAGGAAUUACUAAAGUGACACAAACACAAAGUAUUCUUUCUAUCGUACCGUAAACAAACACCACAUGUUCAAGCCUUAAAUCCGAUCGCAAGCCACAUUAAUGUCACGAGCACUCGCAGAAUUAUCAUGGCCACAGACACAACACUUCAGAUUAAUUUGACCCAAAAGAUUUAACAAACAAAUUUAAAAAUCAAGUGAAAAUGUACAUAAACCCUCUUCAGGCCUCAACCCUCAAUUUUAAUUUUUUUUUACUUUUUGUUUCCAUUUGCAUCCUCUCAACUUUCAUUCGUUUUGAUUUCAAUUGACGAAUUUGGUUAAAUAAAUAAAUCAACGAUUUCGCCACAUUUCACGUUUCCAACUACGUUUUUUUAUCCGAAGUGCGCAUUCCAUUAAUAACUAGUGAUCAAAAACUAAUGGAGCUAUCAAUUUUAAUAAAAUUUUUGAUCCACAAAAAAGAGAAGUUCAGAGGCCUAUUUCAAAAUGGACCAUAGUUGAGGGGGUCUCCAUCCAUGCACUUUUACCUAACAACUACCAAUAAAUAGAAUAGAUCAUGGCUAAUACAAGUAACAAAACAUAUCGCAUCAAAUCGAAUCGCAAAAGAGGAUCUCACGGAUCUGGAAAAGGGGGAAAUGAUCUGGGAAUGGAAAGGGAAAGGGAAAAGAGGAAGGGGGGAGAGGGAUCGGGAUCUGACCAUCGCCGUCCUUGUCGAACAAGCUGAAGGCCUCCUUGAACUCGGAGAUCUGGUCGUCGGUGAGCUGAUCUGCCAUGGAUCCUCGGAGAUCGAGCACACAAAGAGAGAGAGAGAGAGAGGGGGGAGAGAGAGAGAGAGAGAGGGGAAGGGGAUGAAGAAGAGAUCUGAGAGAGAGAGAGAGAGGGAGAGGCUCCGAGCGUUUUGCGGCUUCGGGUUCGAGAAUUUUAGGGUUGGAAUUAAUUUUUUUGGAAUUUUAGGCUAGGGGUUAUAAUUUUUAAUUUUUUUGUUUUUGUUUUUUUUAAGGUCAAUUUGCAUAAAAAAUUCACUAAUUUUACACUUUUGCAAAAAUGGAUCACCUUUUAUAAUUUUGCAUAUUUAAAUAUCCUUAUACCUUUUUCUCUCCCCCUUUUUUUUUUCUCUCGUUCUUUUUUUCUUUCUCUUCCCAGAGAGCGGCGGAGGCGAAGGCGGAGGCGGAGACGGUCCGCUUCGGUUUUGUUGAGCGCAUUCUUACCCUCGUCCGCGUACGCCUUUCUCGCCUCCGACCCCGCCGGCCGCGCUGCGAUUUCUUUUUUUUCCCAUCUCCGACCCUCCUCCACCGCCUCCGACGGCGACGCCUCUCCGCCAACAUCGGCCCCGCGGAGGUCGCUGCGUCGUCGCAGCCUCGGAGUGGGGGGUCUUUAGCGGCGUCGUCGCCAGCGCUAUGGCCGUUUGCGGAGAGGCACGACAAAAAAAAUUGUAGAAGAAGGAAGAAGAAAAAAAAUAAAGACAAAAAUUAUAUUAGAAGGAAGUCGCUUCUUCGUGAGCCAUUUCCUCUUUUUCGAAGGCUCUAUCUCAUGGGUCUCGAAUUUGGCAUCCCGUCAUUAAGGACGAGGUUCACUGAUCCAUAGCUAACAUUCCUUAUAUUCCAUAAAUUCCCAGAUGGGUGAAAUGAGUGUGAACUUUUGUUACAUGGAACAAGAGAAUACCUGCUGCAAAACGCGACGAGAGAUGAUGAGGAACGAACUGAGGGUGAAUUGCAUUAGGGUUCCCCCAAACUCUUUAG
Molecule: long non-coding RNA, 6512 nt
Filed under: Ananas comosus (pineapple)
Lineage: Eukaryota; Viridiplantae; Streptophyta; Magnoliopsida; Poales; Bromeliaceae
Description: long non-coding RNA (ACOM_LNC028849)
Source: RNAcentral